This 217-nucleotide long non-coding RNA is filed under the name Salvia miltiorrhiza (redroot sage). Its description in RNAcentral is "long non-coding RNA (SMIL_LNC013555)". Lineage: Eukaryota; Viridiplantae; Streptophyta; Magnoliopsida; Lamiales; Lamiaceae. The record is from RNAcentral.
UGCCCUCCGGCUCCGGCAAUCCGGCAAUCGUCGCCCGUCGGCGCGCGUGCAGGCGCGAGGCCCGCAGCCGUGCGCGCUCAGGCGUUCCCUGCCCAAGCGAGUCCGAUAGCUCCUGCCCAGGCGUCCGCUGCCUUCCAGCCGUCCUCGUCUGACAGCCGCUGUCCAGCGCCGAGUCUCCGAUGGUUUCGACGGCAGAGGUCUCCGGCAAUGUUUCUCC